Molecule: ribosomal RNA, 247 nt
Filed under: uncultured Hymenobacter sp.
Lineage: Bacteria; Pseudomonadati; Bacteroidota; Cytophagia; Cytophagales; Hymenobacteraceae
Description: partial 16S ribosomal RNA
Rfam family: Bacterial small subunit ribosomal RNA
Source: RNAcentral
GGGAUAGCCCGCCGAAAGGCGGAUUAAUACCGCAUAAGCUUGUGAGUCUGGUUUCGACUUAUUAGUAAACGAUUUAUUGGUUAUAGAUGGGGUUGCGGGUCAUUAGCUAGUUGGUAAGGUAACGGCUUACCAAGGCGACGAUGACUAGGGGAGCUGAGAGGCUGGUCCCCCACACGGGCACUGAGAUACGGGCCCGACUCCUACGGGAGGCAGCAGUAGGGAAUAUUGGGCAAUGGGCGAGAGCCUU